UCUGAUUCAUGACAUGCCUAGUAUCCAAGUGUUUGGAGAGAAAAGUGAAACGAGCAAGCCUGUCGAUGGUGAUGAUGAAGAUGGCAAUGAAGAUGGGGACGGAGAAGAGGACGGUGCUGUCGGGGAGGGUGACGAAGAACCAUCUGAGGAUGACGGGGAGGGAUACGAGAACCCCAAUAAUAACAGUGGCAAGAAAGCCCCUGGCGACGGUGCUGGUGGUGAAGAAAACGGAGAGGAUGAUGAUGAAGAGGCCGAGGAUCCAGAGGACGGGGAUGACGACGACGAUGAUGAAGAAGAUGAGGAUGACGAUGAUGGUGGAGAGGACGAGGACGAGGGUGUGGAAGACGACGAGGAGAACGAGGAUGAAGAGGAAGACGACGAGGAAGAGGAGCUUCAACCUCCUAAGAAGAGGAAGAAGUGAGCGUGGUCGAAGUCGGGCUCGGUUUUAGUUGUAGCUUCUCUUGCUCUUUCGCAGUUCAGUCCGUUCGACCUCGCCGUGUGCCCUAACCCUGGUUUCAUUUCAGGAUUCAUAACGACAGACCGUUGUGGUGUUGGCCUAUGUAGGAGUACUAUUUCCUAAUGCAUCAGAGAGAACUUUGUCAAAUUUUGAUUUGUCUCUCUCAGUUAUUUAAGCUAACAAACUCUAAACUAUGCUGCUUCAAUUUGGUAUCAGAUUUUAACAAUGUAGUCAAAUGCAGCUCACUUUUCCCUCCUUGUUUGGGUCCAUAUGCAUGCAUGUCUCUUAUCUAAACUUUUAUGUGGUUGAAAUCUGGUGCUUGUGGCAACAGGUGAAACACAGCUUGAAGAUGAG
Molecule: long non-coding RNA, 811 nt
Filed under: Musa acuminata (dwarf banana)
Lineage: Eukaryota; Viridiplantae; Streptophyta; Magnoliopsida; Zingiberales; Musaceae
Description: long non-coding RNA (MACU_LNC003029)
Source: RNAcentral